UGAACGCUGGCGGCGUGCCUAAUACAUGCAAUUCGAGCGAACAGAUGAGGAGCUUGCUCCUCUGACGUUAGCGGCGGACGGGUGAGUAACACGUGGAUAACCUACCUAUAAGACUGGGAUAACUUCGGGAAACCGGAGCUAAUACCGGAUAAUAUAUUGAACCGCAUGGUUCAAUAGUGAAAGACGGUUUUGCUGUCACUUAUAGAUGGAUCCGCGCCGCAUUAGCUAGUUGGUAAGGUAACGGCUUACCAAGGCAACGAUGCGUAGCCGACCUGAGAGGGUGAUCGGCCACACUGGAACUGAGACACGGUCCAGACUCCUACGGGAGGCAGCAGUAGGGAAUCUUCCGCAAUGGGCGAAAGCCUGACGGAGCAACGCCGCGUGAGUGAUGAAGGUCUUCGGAUCGUAAAACUCUGUUAUUAGGGAAGAACAAAUGUGUAAGUAACUAUGCACGUCUUGACGGUACCUAAUCAGAAAGCCACGGCUAACUACGUG
Molecule: ribosomal RNA, 495 nt
Filed under: uncultured bacterium
Lineage: Bacteria
Description: partial 16S ribosomal RNA
Rfam family: Bacterial small subunit ribosomal RNA
Source: RNAcentral